This 402-nucleotide ribosomal RNA is filed under the name Verrucomicrobiota bacterium. Its description in RNAcentral is "Verrucomicrobia bacterium partial 16S ribosomal RNA". It matches the Rfam family "Bacterial small subunit ribosomal RNA", at positions 355 to 776 of the family's 1533-position model. The record is from RNAcentral. Lineage: Bacteria; Pseudomonadati; Verrucomicrobiota.
UGGGGAAUUUUGCACAAUGGGGGAAACCCUGAUGCAGCGACGCCGCGUGAUUUAGAAGGCCUUCGGGUUGUAAAAAUCUUUUGUAUGGGAAGAAAAUGACAGUACCAUACGAAUAAGGACCGGCUAAUUACGUGCCAGCAGCCGCGGUAAUACGUAAGGUCCGAGCGUUGUCCGGAAUCAUUGGGCGUAAAGGGUACGUAGGCGGAUAAGCAAGUUAGAAGUGAAAUCCUAUAGCUCAACUAUAGUAAGCUUUUAAAACUGCUCAUCUUGAGAUAUGGAAGGGAAAGUGGAAUUCCUAGUGUAGCGGUGAAAUGCGCAGAUAUUAGGAGGAAUACCGGUGGCGAAGGCGACUUUCUGGCCAUAAUCUGACGCUGAGGUACGAAAGCGUGGGUAGCAAACAGG